GGCGGCGUGCUUAACACAUGCAAGUCGAGCGGAAAGGCCCUUCGGGGUACUCGAGCGGCGAACGGGUGAGUAACACGUGAGCAACCUGCCCUAGGCUUUGGGAUAACCCUCGGAAACGGGGGCUAAUACCGAAUAGGACUGCCGGACGCAUGGUUGGUGGUGGAAAGUUUUUCGGCCUGGGAUGGGCUCGCGGCCUAUCAGCUUGUUGGUGGGGUGAUGGCCUACCAAGGCGACGACGGGUAGCCGGCCUGAGAGGGCGACCGGCCACACUGGGACUGAGACACGGCCCAGACUCCUACGGGAGGCAGCAGUGGGGAAUAUUGCACAAUGGGCGGAAGCCUGAUGCAGCGACGCCGCGUGAGGGAUGACGGCCUUCGGGUUGUAAACCUCUUUCAGCAGGGACGAAGCGCAAGUGACGGUACCUGCAGAAGAAGCACCGGCCAACUACGUGCCAGCAGCCGCGGUAAGACGUAGGGUGCGAGCGUUGUCCGGAUUUAUUGGGCGUAAAGAGCUCGUAGGCGGCUUGUCGCGUCGACCGUGAAAACUUGGGGCUCAACCCCAAGCCUGCGGUCGAUACGGGCAGGCUAGAGUUCGGUAGGGGAGACUGGAAUUCCUGGUGUAGCGGUGAAAUGCGCAGAUAUCAGGAGGAACACCGGUGGCGAAGGCGGGUCUCUGGGCCGAUACUGACGCUGAGGAGCGAAAGCGUGGGGAGCGAACAGGAUUAGAUACCCUGGUAGUCCACGCUGUAAACGUUGGGCGCUAGGUGUGGGGGGCCUCUCCGGUUCUCUGUGCCGCAGCUAACGCAUUAAGCGCCCCGCCUGGGGAGUACGGCCGC
RNAcentral lists this ribosomal RNA (835 nucleotides) under Micromonospora sp. IM-7450. RNAcentral describes it as "bacterial SSU rRNA". It matches the Rfam family "Bacterial small subunit ribosomal RNA", at positions 38 to 889 of the family's 1533-position model. The record is from RNAcentral. Lineage: Bacteria; Bacillati; Actinomycetota; Actinomycetes; Micromonosporales; Micromonosporaceae.